Molecule: long non-coding RNA, 1242 nt
Organism: Hordeum vulgare subsp. vulgare (domesticated barley)
Lineage: Eukaryota; Viridiplantae; Streptophyta; Magnoliopsida; Poales; Poaceae
Exons: 2
Source: RefSeq, a predicted model, not a curated record
UCCAGGUCAUCCCUAACCUCCCGUAGACCAUGUGAUAGAGCUGCACCGUGCUCGCCCGCAACCGCCGACCGCACCUCGCGUAGAUAACGCUUAUCCCGCAGUCCUCAACGCCCAUAGACGCGCCUAUAUAAGCCCCCGAGGCUCCUCUUUCCAUUGAUAUGUCCCACUCCACCUCUCGUCACUCACAGUCAAUGCCGUCACCGUUUGCAUCUCGCUGUACGGAGCUUCUCCACCGGAGAAAUACGAUGAUGGACUCGUCGGAGACGCCUCCCGUUCGACCGUGCGCCGUCGGAGUUCGCCGGAGCAAAGGAGCUUUUCCACCUUGCCCUGCUCCACCCGGACGCCGUCGAUGCUCCGCACCACCACCGUUCGACCACCCACGCCGAGCUACACCCGCCCGCCUACUUCCUUGUCGGCGCAGGCCGCCGGAGCCGCCGCCCCAUCCACGCCGCCCGCCCAGCACCCGCGCCUACCGAUGCUAGCACCCUCUCGCUGUAAGAAGUCGCCCCUCUGCUUCAUUUGUUAGAUUAGAUUAGGGGUUUUCUUUGUUUUCAGAUUGAAUUGGCAUCUGGUUAACCAGAGUACACUUAAACCAUGCUAUUUAUUUAAAACCGAACGCCGUUUUUUCUUUUUAGCUGUCAUCGCCAUUUUAAUUAAUUGCUGACCAUCUGCUGGUUUGGCUCAGGAGUGAACACCUUCCAGCCACUCGCGUAACGCCACGUGGCUAUGAAUAUGUCUAGUGCAGAUUUGUUUUUUCUGAUUUUUUUCCUAAACUUCGAAUAGCCUCAACUUUUUAAGCAUAGAUCCAAACAAGAUAAAACCAACGGAAAAUUCUUCAUCUCGAAUAGCUCUAUCCAGAGAACCUAUCAUUGCAAACUUUUGCAAUUCAAAUUUGAAUUUAUUUUAGAUUUUAAUUAAAACUCUUUUAGGCCAUAUCUUGCAAACGCCAUACCCGUUUAAGUCGAAUCUUUUUGCACAUCGUCACCCAAGAUAAAUCAUGUACCAUAUUUCAUUUCCACAAUAUUUUUUCACCCAUUUAACUUAUAUUCUUGGUAAUUUUACUAAUAUGCCUUGUAGGAAUACUAGUGGAUAUCACGAUUCUGAACCCUAUUUUCACACCUUUGUUUUAUACUUGGAUAAAUUGCAUGCUAUAUACGUGUGUUGUAUUUUAUUUGGAUUUUGUAAAUAUUUGUGUUGCAUGUUACUUUGAAUUAUAUGAAUAUGAUGUUUAUGUUGGAAAUA